UGGGGAAUAUUGCACAAUGGGCGCAAGCCUGAUGCAGCCAUGCCGCGUGUGUGAAGAAGGCCUUCGGGUUGUAAGGCACUUUCAGCGGGGAGGAAGGCGAUAAGGUUAAUAACCUUGUCGAUUGACGUUACCCGCAGAAGAAGCACCGGCUAACUCCGUGCCAGCAGCCGCGGUAAUACGGAGGGUGCAAGCGUUAAUCGGAAUUACGGGGUGUAAAGCGCACGCAGGCGGUCUGUCAAGUCGGAUGUGAAAUCCCCGGGCUCAACCUGGUAACUGCAUUCGAAACUGGCAGGCUAGAGUCUUGUAGAGGGGGGUAGAAUUCCAUGUGUAGCGGUGAAAUGCGUAGAGAUCUAGAGGAAUACCGGUAGCGAAGGCGGCCCCCUGAACAAAGACAGACGCUCAGGUGCGAAAGCGUGAGGAGCAAACAGG
This 429-nucleotide ribosomal RNA is filed under the name Chloroflexota bacterium. RNAcentral describes it as "Chloroflexi bacterium partial 16S ribosomal RNA". It matches the Rfam family "Bacterial small subunit ribosomal RNA", at positions 355 to 776 of the family's 1533-position model. Lineage: Bacteria; Bacillati; Chloroflexota. The record is from RNAcentral.